RNAcentral lists this ribosomal RNA (445 nucleotides) under uncultured bacterium. RNAcentral describes it as "partial 16S ribosomal RNA". It matches the Rfam family "Bacterial small subunit ribosomal RNA", at positions 354 to 796 of the family's 1533-position model. The record is from RNAcentral.
GUGAGGAAUAUUGCGCAAUGGAGGCAACUCUGACGCAGCCAUGCCGCGUGCAGGAAGAAGGCGCUACGCGUUGUAAACUGCUUUUAACCGGGAAGAAACCCCAGGACGUGUCCUGGGUUGACGGUACCGGAGGAAUAAGCACCGGCUAACUUCGUGCCAGCAGCCGCGGUAAUACGAAGGGUGCAAGCGUUAUCCGGAUUCAUUGGGUUUAAAGGGUGCGUAGGCGGAGCGUUAAGUCAGUGGUGAAAUCCUGCAGCUUAACUGUAGACUUGCCAUUGAUACUGGCGCUCUUGAGUGCGCUUGAAGUUGGCGGAAUGUGCCGUGUAGCGGUGAAAUGCUUAGAUAUGGCACAGAACACCAAUUGCGAAGGCAGCUCACUAAGGCGAUACUGACGCUGAGGCACGAAAGCGUGGGGAUCGAACAGGAUUAGAUACCCGUGUAGUCC